AGGCAAACGCUGCAUUUUAUGUAGAGGAAAGUCCAUGCUCGCACCAUCUGUGAUGAUGGUAGUGUUCGUGCAUAGGGAAAAAAUAACCUAUGGUAGUUUUUAACUAACGGCAUCGAAUUAACCGUUUAGGUUAUAUUAGAUAUAAAAGUGCUAUAGUGACGAUUUGAUUUAGAAAUAAAUCAGGUGAGACGACGUAAACCCCACGAGCGAGAAACCCAAAUUAUGGUAGGGGAGCUAAAAAGAAGGAAUAAAACUUCAAUUUGGAUCGAAAGAUAGAUAAAUGUUUGCCAGCCUUCAACGGCUACAGGACAUGGCUUAUU
Molecule: RNase P RNA, 320 nt
Filed under: bovine gut metagenome
Description: Bacterial RNase P class B
Rfam family: Bacterial RNase P class B
About the family: Ribonuclease P (RNase P) is a ubiquitous endoribonuclease, found in archaea, bacteria and eukarya as well as chloroplasts and mitochondria. Its best characterised activity is the generation of mature 5'-ends of tRNAs by cleaving the 5'-leader elements of precursor-tRNAs.
Source: RNAcentral